UAUGGCCAUUACCACCCCGAACACACCCGAUCUCGUCUGAUCUCGGAGACUAAGCAGGGUUGGGCCUGGUCAGUACUUGCAUGACAGAUUCCACUGAAAACAGUGAUGUAACCAGUU
RNAcentral lists this ribosomal RNA (117 nucleotides) under Microcebus murinus (gray mouse lemur). Lineage: Eukaryota; Metazoa; Chordata; Mammalia; Primates; Cheirogaleidae. The record is from RNAcentral.